UUAAUAGUUAAGGGCUUUAAAAUUAAAGAAUUUGGCGGUAUUUUAGUCUAUUCAGAGGAACCUGUCCUGUAAUUGAUAAUCCACGAUUUAUAAAACCAAUGUUUUAAAUUUAUAUAUCGUCGUAGUUUAAAUAUUUUAAAAGAAUAUAAAUAUUUAAAAUUUUUUUUAGAAAAUAAAUNAGAUCAAGAUGUAGUUUAUAUAUUGGUAGAGAUGGGUUACAAUAAAUAUAUUUAUGGAUAAAUAAUUGAAAAUUAUUUUAAAAAUGGAUUUGAAAGUAAUUUUAUAUAAAUUUAUAAAAUGAUUAAGCUCUAAAAUAUGU
This 319-nucleotide ribosomal RNA is filed under the name Macrostola straminea. Its description in RNAcentral is "partial 12S ribosomal RNA". Lineage: Eukaryota; Metazoa; Arthropoda; Insecta; Coleoptera; Nitidulidae. The record is from RNAcentral.